GGAUCGCGGCGMCSUGGGCGGUCGCCGCCGAUGACGUCGCGAGAAGUCCACUGAACCUUAUCAUUUAGAGGAAGGAGAAGUCGUAACAAGGUUUCCGUAGGUGAACCUGCGGAAGGAUCAUUG
This 123-nucleotide ribosomal RNA is filed under the name Eugenia brongniartiana. RNAcentral's name for it is "partial 18S ribosomal RNA". It matches the Rfam family "Eukaryotic small subunit ribosomal RNA". The record is from RNAcentral. Lineage: Eukaryota; Viridiplantae; Streptophyta; Magnoliopsida; Myrtales; Myrtaceae.